CCCUGACCGGGGUUGCGGACAGUGUCUGGUGGGUAGUUUGACUGGGGCGGUCUCCUCCCAAAGCGUAACGGAGGAGCACGAAGGUUAGCUAAUCCUGGUCGGACAUCAGGAGGUUAGUGCAAUGGCAUAAGCUAGCUUGACUGCGAGCGUGACGGCGCGAGCAGGUGCGAAAGCAGGUCAUAGUGAUCCGGUGGUUCUGAAUGGAAGGGCCAUCGCUCAACGGAUAAAAGGUACUCCGGGGAUAACAGGCUGAUACCGCCCAAGAGUUCAUAUCGACGGCGGUGUUUGGCACCUCGAUGUCGGCUCAUCACAUCCUGGGGCUGAAGUAGGUCCCAAGGGUAUGGCUGUUCGCC
Molecule: ribosomal RNA, 353 nt
Filed under: Klebsiella pneumoniae
Lineage: Bacteria; Pseudomonadati; Pseudomonadota; Gammaproteobacteria; Enterobacterales; Enterobacteriaceae
Description: bacterial LSU rRNA
Rfam family: Bacterial large subunit ribosomal RNA
Source: RNAcentral